UGUCUCAAAGAUUAAGCCAUGCAUGUCUCAGUGCAAGCCACAUUAAGGUGAAACCGCGAAUGGCUCAUUACAUCAGUUAUGGUUCCUUAGAUCGUACCCACAUUACUUGGAUAACUGUGGUAAUUCUAGAGCUAAUACAUGCAAAUAGAGUUCCGACCAGAGAUGGAAGGAAUGCUUUUAUUAGAUCAAAACCAAUCGGUGGCGGGCUUGCCUUGCUCACCGUUUGACUUGGUGACUCUGAAUAACUUUGUGCUGAUCGCACGGUCUCGUACCGGCGACGCAUCUUUCAAAUGUCUGCCUUAUCAACUGUCGAUGGUAGUUUCUGCGACUACCAUGGUUGUUACGGGUAACGGGGAAUCAGGGUUCGAUUCCGGAGAGGGAGCCUGAGAAACGGCUACCACAUCCAAGGAAGGCAGCAGGCGCGCAAAUUACCCACUCCCGGCACGGGGAGGUAGUGACGAAAAAUAACGAUACGGGACUCAUCCGAGGCCCCGUAAUCGGAAUGAGUACACUUUAAAUCCUUUAACCAGGAUCAAUUGGAGGGCAAGUCUGGUGCCAGCAGCCGCGGUAACACCAGCUCCAAUAGCGUAUAUUAAAGUUGUUGCGGUUAAAAAGCUCGUAGUUGAAUCUGUGUCCCACACUGUCGGUUCACCGCUCGCGGUGUUCAACUGGCAUGUCUGUGGGACGUCCUACCGGUGGGCGCAGCCCGUCAAAAGGCGGCCCAACUCAAAAUCCUACCACGGUGCUCUUCACCGAGUGUCGAGGUGGGCCGG
RNAcentral lists this ribosomal RNA (773 nucleotides) under Ectinorus onychius. RNAcentral describes it as "SSU rRNA". It matches the Rfam family "Eukaryotic small subunit ribosomal RNA", at positions 33 to 747 of the family's 1831-position model. Lineage: Eukaryota; Metazoa; Arthropoda; Insecta; Siphonaptera; Rhopalopsyllidae. The record is from RNAcentral.